CAAAACAUAGCUUAUAUAAAGCCUCUUGCUUACACCAAGAAAAUGUUCUCUUAUCAGAACUGUUUUGAAA
This 70-nucleotide transfer RNA is filed under the name Eleutherodactylus gossei (Spaldings robber frog). RNAcentral describes it as "tRNA-Val". Lineage: Eukaryota; Metazoa; Chordata; Amphibia; Anura; Eleutherodactylidae. The record is from RNAcentral.